CAGGCAUUUCAGAACGAAAGCGGAGAUCGAGCAGGGUUGUCAACAUGAAAUACUGCGUUUUGGUAGCCCUUGUCUGCUUUUUUCUUCUCAUUGAGAAACGAAUGGUACAACCCUAUAAAAUGAUGCAGCAGCAACUACAACCUGAAACCAAUGCCAGAGAGCUCGGUGUACUCAUUGAAGAAAGAAAGAAACGAAUGGUACAGCCAAAUGAAAUGAUGCAGCAACAACUACAACCUGAAACCAACGCCAUAAAGCUCGGUGUACUAAUCGAAGAACGAAGCAGGCCAUACACUUGUCAAGCUAACGGAGGACGCUGCAAGGAAAAGCCAAAUUGCGGUGCAAGGCAACCACAUAACGGCACAUGCCCUAAGAAGAGAUAUUGCUGCACUUGGAGCGAAUGACUCCGCGCAGUAAUUUCGUACUCUUUCUACCCAGAAGAUCCAGAGCAUUAUUUGGAGGUUACAAAGGACUUGUAAGUCCUGCUUGCCUAUCAUUAUGCGAUUUAC
Molecule: non-coding RNA, 506 nt
Organism: Dermacentor albipictus
Lineage: Eukaryota; Metazoa; Arthropoda; Arachnida; Ixodida; Ixodidae
Source: RefSeq, a predicted model, not a curated record